ACAACAACCUCAUCCAAAUAAAUAAACUAACCAUUUAUAAAAAAGCCCCAAGGAACUGGUUAUAUGGAAUAAACUGAAAAAUGUGUUUAGCUGCAAUGUUCCAAUACUAGAGGGUUAAGAUACACAGAACUCACUUAAGUUAUAUAUAUAUAUAUAUUUAUAGUGUAUGUUUAACAUCUGAUUACUUAGGUCCAUAUGAAAAUCUGAGCACCUUCCUUUCUUAAAUUUAUGCACCACCAUGAUAUACAAUAAUUUUAAAGUAAACAGGGAAACCAGACUUAUCAUUAAAGCACUCACUGAUGAAGCUACGUGCUUACAGUGUUUUCAAAACAUCACAAACAUGCUGAAUUAAGACCACAAAAAAGUUUAGGAUAGCACCCACUUCAACGCAAGUUAUCCUCUGAUUUGAGUCUUCCACCUCUCUCCUGGGCUCAAUGUUACAUGGUAAGCGAACUCUGGAGGAGCAGUAUCAGAAGAAAACAACAGCUAUUAAAAUUUCCUAAUGCAGUGUAGGAUUAGUGAGGUUGUAGGUGUUGAGAACAACUGAAGGAGGGCUGAAGCCUGAGUCAUGGCAGAGCAGCACAGGAAUAGGAACCCCACGAGAACCCACAAAACCACCCGCUCUGCUGAGGAGUCGCACUGCCCACCUGCACCUCCUCCUUCAAAUAAGCACCCCCAUGACUUCAAAACCAGAUUUUUGUGAGACCCAGCAAGACAGCCACCACGACCAGAAAGCCCUUGGGUAAAAGGCUGUGCACAAACCUCCUCCGCCUGCUCUGUCUUUCGAUGCUCUCAGCCCAGGCUCGCUCCAGGUGACAACGCAGCGCACACCGCUUCCCUUCCCGCAUGCUCCCACCUUCCCGGCCUCUUAGGACUGGGCUUCUGCUCUGCCCCUCCCAGGCACUAAGCGUGCCCUGCCCUGUGCUAGAACCCUCCGUGAAGGCGUGUUUCCACCCACCCCAAUGGCGACUCUCUCCCCCAGGGCAGCUGCUGCCCUCCUUUUACUCCUUUAUAGAUGGAGUGGUGAACAGGCGGUGCUAGGAGGUUUGUCAUCCUGUGAACCGGGGAAAUGCUGUAGCUGGGUCUCCUCCUGAUGCAUGAGGCAGCUGUUGGGAUGGCAGGUAAGUGUUCUAAAGAAAAGCCACCAACCUGCCCGGUGGGCAGCUCUUCUGUCCCUGAAGCUGCCUUCUGUAUCUCCAGGGGGAAAAGAUAAUGCUGGAAAGAGCAGAUUUUUAUCCUAGUUUUCCCAAUGCAAUGGCUGUAAGUAGCAGGAAUUAUCAGCUGAGUGUGUACACCUUUAAAUGGACCAAAAUAUUAUUUUCAUAAUGUAAAUUCAUGAUUAGGUUUACGCUCAUGCAUUUUCCUAGGCAUUGCUUUGAGGGUGGAGGUUGAAAACUAAUUCUAAAAGAUGUACAUAAUAUGCAUUUAAGGAGGACAGAAUUUCCAUUUUCCAGCCAAAUUCCUGAUAGUUUCUAACAGCUGAGAAUGCAACUUCUGAAUAAUUUGGGUAUGCAAUAUAUCUUUCUCUGUCACUUUCUGAGGUUUGGUGGGGUUUUGUUUUUUUUUUUUGGUUUUUUGGGGUUUUUUGUUUGUUUUUUAAGGAGAUUAUAGAACAUAAGGGCUAUUUGCAACUGUAAAAGCUAUUUCUGUCUUGUUAACAAUCUCAGCUUCUGCACUUUUGACACCAAGCAUCAGGUUAACUGUUAGCAAAAAAAGGCAGUUUUAGCAGUAAAUGGUAAUAGCCACCUUUGGUUUAUCCAGCCAGCAGCCUUGGUGAAACUGUGUAGGCUAAUGUGCUCUUCCUCAGUUCCUUGGAGUCUCUGAAGUUUUGGCAAUAACCCAUCUCCUGUGUGUUUAUAACCUUUCUAUUUUUGUGCAUUGCUAGAUACUUUUCCUGAAAAAAGUAAAAUAAGGAAAACCAGAAAUUCAUUGAUUUCUUUCAACAAGAGCUGAGCUAUUUUUAUGUAGCUUUUGAGUUCUUCUUUUGCUAAAUGUUAGAAAAAUUACAGCUGCUUCAACACUUCUCAAGUAAGUAAAAGGCUAUGAAAAAAUGUUAAUAGUGUUAGACAACUUAAAACAAGAUCAGUGCAGAAUCUCGAGUUGUUUACCAGUCCUUUAGGAUCAUAGCAGCAUUUGAAUUGUUAGAAGUCAUCUCUAAGCAACUUCCUCUGAAGAAAGCUUUAUUUUCUCUGAAGAUAAGGACAAAAAUAAGGUGGUUUUUUUUGUUGUUGUUUUUUGUUGUUUUGUUAAUCCAAAGACUUGACCAGGAAGUUAAUCAGGAAUGCCUGGUCUAAAUAUGUUCCUUGUCAUCACAGCUAAAUAAUGCAAUAAUGAGUGUUGGUUAGCUAACUCACUCUAAAUUCCUAGAGAUGAUCAAGUAAGGAGGUGCUUUUAGGCCCAGAUGAGCAUCCAAGGUGGUUCAUGCUGCAUAAAUAAGAUCAUGGGAAAAAAAAAAAAAAGUGCCUGACUUCAGCUGAAUUUUGUAGUUUUCCACCUAGUGGUUUCAAUAGAAAACCUGCUGAAGUGCUGGUGGAUGUUCUAGCAGCUGACAUAGAAAAUUGAAUUAUUUACAUGGCAAAGAUCUCUCCUUACUUCACAAGUGUUACAUCAUUUUCACACUGUUUUUAAUUUUUUUAGCAUUCUAGAAAUACUGAAAAUCUAUACACAGUUUAUCAAUCAAUCUCUCCUCCCCCAAAAAAAUCUAGGCUUUAACUCUGACAGGACUAGUUUUAGUAUUUUAAAUAAACAAAAAAAAACCCCAACUAACCAAUCAAAAAAUCAGGUAUAGCUUAAACAUACAGCUGGCCAUAAAUCCAGGGUAAUUUGAUACCUGAUUAUUACUCUCACUAGUACCAUUAGUGCUCUUAGAACUGACAGCUAUAUUCUUUCUGAAUACCAUUAUUCUUUUCUCCCCCUUCCUAUUUUCUUGUGGUUAGCACUGUCAAAAAAUUGUAGCAAAUCAAUGCUCAAGCUUGUGAAGCUCGAAGUGAAUGUUGCCACAUAAAGACAGUGGCUUAGUUUCAGUUAUUCCUAGUCUGUCUUUCCUUCUGCCAAAGAAUCCAGCUCCAGGAACAACUGGAUGUGCAUGUACAGUAUCUCCAAGGCAUUCAUCACAUGUCAGGGCUAAGGUAUAUAAAAUGAUUCAGCAUCUCCAAAAGUCAGUAAAUGAUGUAAAAACAAGCCAGGCCGGUUAGAAACCAGUCAGGUGGUGAUCUUACCUCCACUCAUGUUCUGAUUUGAUUUCUUCUUGGCCUGGCUUAAACUUGAUGGAUGAGUAACUUCUGCCAUCUGUGGAGUGAGAAAUGUGGCCUGGCUUAGCAAGGAGCCGUUGUCUGGUUUAGUGCCGACACAGUGAUGGAACAACCUCCUCUGUAAAUUAGGAUGUUCAAGCAACAGUCAGAAAAUCUCUGGGUGGCAGAUUAUGGGUUAUAUAAUUUGUCUGUAUGUGCAAGAGCAGAGAGAGCUUAUGGAGAAGAGCACAAGGGAACACUGCCGUGGCAAAUCAGGUGAAGUUCAUAAAUUCUGUUCACCCUACAGAAAGCUAGAGCCAAACCCAGUUCUCUUGCUUGGUGUAUCACUUUAUGUUUCAAAGAGAUACCUGAGUGGACUCUAUGGUUAAAAUAAGUAGGGAAAAGAUGUAAAGUGGAGCUCAGCCACUUUGGUUGGUUCAGCUCAAAAAACCUGGGUUGAUCAAGUUAUGUGUAUGUGAAAGUUGUUACAGGUGUGUUCACAUUAUUUUUAGUAUCAGAAAUAGAGUGGCCAGCAAGAACAUGGCAGUGAUUGUCACCCUGUACUGAGCACUGGUGAGGCCUCACCUUGAGUGCCAUGUUCAGCUCUGGGUCCCUCACUUCAAGAAGGAUAUUGAGGUGCUGGGGUGUGUCCAGAGGAAGACAAUAGAGCUGGUGAAGGGUCUGGAGCACAUUUCCUAGUGAGGAGCAGCUGAGGGAGCUGCAGUCACAGAGAAGAGGAAGCUCAGGGAAGACCUGAUCACUCUCCACAGCCACCUGAAAGGAGGCUGUAGCCAGAUGAGGGUCAGACUCUUCCCCCAUGCAUCUAGGGAUAGGACAAGAGGACGCAGUCAUAAAAUAUGCCAGGGGAGGUUUAGUUUGGACAUCACAAAGAAUUUCUUCACAGAAGAGUGAAGAAUUGGAAUGGGCUGCCCAGGGAGGUGGUGGAGUCACUGACCCUGGGGGUGUUUAAGGAAAGACUGGAUGUAGCACUUAAUGCCAUGGUCUAGCUAACAUGGCGGUGGUGUUAAAGGCAGAAAUUAAAGUCGAUGAUCUCUGAGGUCUUUUCCCACCUAGCUGAUCCCGUGAUUCUGUGAAGCAGAAGCGAGGAGGCUGGGGGAAGGAAAUGAUGGAAGAGCACGCAGCCGGUGGCAGGGGAUUUUGGAAGGCCAUGGGAAGGGGUCUGUGGAAGUAGAGAGGGCUGUCCCGAGGGAGCAGCGGAGCAAACGCGAGGAGCCGAGGCCCAGGAAACUUGAUCUUUCUGAGAGCUUCUUGUAUGCAGCCAGCUAAAUAACAAAGGCUUGUGUCAUAAAAGGAUGAAUAAGAUUAUUCUGGUAGCGUACAUGCCGAAGGAUGUGUCCCAUGAUUGCAACUCUGGGCUGCAGUCAAUUGUUGGUAAACUAUCCUGUGAAGAAUUUACAGGAUUGAGAGACAAGGGUCCUGGCUUUCAGAAGAACUACUACCUGUGGAAGUAUACUAUUUGUUAUUGGAUACUACUUAGAAAAUCUUUAGGCUGAGGUGGAGCUUGGGGACUGUCAUACGGCAACUCUGGAGACAGUGUUGGACAACAUGAGGGGCAUCUGUAGAAUCUGCACUCAACAAUUACAACUCUGUGAAACUCUUAAAUAAAACUAUUUCACAACAUGAUUGUGGAACAUUUGUUUUCUGA
Long non-coding RNA from Parus major (Great Tit), 4896 nucleotides. RefSeq lists it as uncharacterized. NCBI's taxonomy places the organism in Eukaryota, Metazoa, Chordata, Aves, Passeriformes, Paridae. The record is from RefSeq and is a predicted model, not a curated record. The transcript has 4 exons.